RNAcentral lists this ribosomal RNA (494 nucleotides) under Kocuria rosea. RNAcentral describes it as "bacterial SSU rRNA". It matches the Rfam family "Bacterial small subunit ribosomal RNA", at positions 112 to 618 of the family's 1533-position model. Lineage: Bacteria; Bacillati; Actinomycetota; Actinomycetes; Micrococcales; Micrococcaceae. The record is from RNAcentral.
AAUACGUGAGUAACCUGCCCUUGACUCUGGGAUAAGCCUGGGAAACUGGGUCUAAUACUGGAUACUACCUCUUACCGCAUGGUGGGUGGUGGAAAGGGUUUUACUGGUUUUGGAUGGGCUCACGGCCUAUCAGCUUGUUGGUGGGGUAAUGGCUCACCAAGGCGACGACGGGUAGCCGGCCUGAGAGGGUGACCGGCCACACUGGGACUGAGACACGGCCCAGACUCCUACGGGAGGCAGCAGUGGGGAAUAUUGCACAAUGGGCGGAAGCCUGAUGCAGCGACGCCGCGUGAGGGAUGACGGCCUUCGGGUUGUAAACCUCUUUCAGUAGGGAAGAAGCGAGAGUGACGGUACCUGCAGAAGAAGCGCCGGCUAACUACGUGCCAGCAGCCGCGGUAAUACGUAGGGCGCAAGCGUUGUCCGGAAUUAUUGGGCGUAAAGAGCUCGUAGGCGGUUUGUCGCGUCUGCUGUGAAAGCCCGGGGCUCAACCCCGG